UUCCUUUUUUUUUAAUAUUUAAGGAUUUUUUAAGUCUUGGUAUUUUCUUUCCUUUUUUUCAAAUCAAAAAAAAUGUGCUCUCUACAGUGCUCUGCCCACAUUGCUUUAUGCAAAUGGCACACACACACGCACAUAUGUCUUUAACAGCACGGAGGUUGUGUUCACUCUUCCAAUUACGAGAUGUUAGCCGUUCCAAUAGGACAGCAAAAGGACAGAGUGGCCACACGAUCGGACGUACUAUGGUUACUGGUGCUUCACACCCACAGAUCUAAUCAGGGAUCGCACUUUCUAUUUCCUACCUUUUGACUCCAGGGAAUCAGGGUAAACUUCUGGAUGUGGUUUAUGAGGGAUUUACACUGGCACGGAAGGUAUGUAGUUCGACAUCCCACUGUCGUCAUUCUCCAUGUCCUACGGGAUUUAUGAAUGGGUGGCUACUAUUUUAUACAACUCUGCCUAUCGUAAAAUUAUUUCGCUUCUGACCACUUCCUAAACUGUAGCUGUCACAAACCCCACGCCAUUCCACACACAGCCGCAUACCGAUCAGACACCAAAAAGCAUAGCCAAUCCAAAACAACCACAAGAAACGAAAAAACCAUGGGUAGAUCAUAUUACCCCAAAAAAAAAAACAAAGUAAUUCAUAUUAAAACAUACCCGCAACGCUCUGGCCAACAACACAAACAUCUCAUUGGCCAGAGGACAGAAAAAAAACUGAAAUUCGCCAAACGAAAAAAAAUUAUCUACAGCGUGGAUACUCACACACAUACACACCUGGCCAACCCGUUUAACAUUUGGCCUUACAACGAAAAAUGCAUUUGUUGCAAAAAAAAAACAAGAAAAGAUAGACAAUGUGCACGCAACAUAGAUCGCCUGGCAAAAAAAAAUAUAGUACUGCGCCAACAAUAAUUUGGGCAAUUUUUCUUGUAAGUCCUGGGCAAUCAUCCAGUCCUGGUAUUAUGACCAAAGAGGCGGCCAGAGCUUACCCAAGCAGUGACAUGUGCUUCAUUACUUACUCCAUCCGGCCGAAUACAUAAUAUUCGGGGUGACGCCCUUUGCCACAGCAGGCCAAUAAAUGCAAGGCAGACAACUACAGAAAAACAAACCUACGUGUCAUGCCCGAUGAGCAGACGUCCUAUAUAAGCCCUCAGGCAUCAAUUGUACAAAUCGCACAUUCUGUGACCUCGUAUAUAAACAGAAGCAGGACAGGCAACUAUGACCAGUGGGCGUUAUGGAAAACCUGGGGCAAUGAAUGCAUGUCCAUUACCUGGAUCUUUCUUUUCCCAAAAUAAUGCAUUAUCUUUGUCGUUAUCUUAUUCAUCAUGUAUUUCCUCUGCCUUUAUGUGUCAUCAAUAAAAUAACAUAUCGAUUCGCA
Stomoxys calcitrans (stable fly) is the source of this 1369-nucleotide long non-coding RNA. RefSeq lists it as uncharacterized. Lineage: Eukaryota; Metazoa; Arthropoda; Insecta; Diptera; Muscidae. The transcript has 3 exons. The record is from RefSeq and is a predicted model, not a curated record.